UGGAAUUUCCCAUGCUAGGGGUUGAAUCGGAGCUGCAGCUGCUGGCCUGCUCCACAGCCAUAGCAACUUGGGAUCCAAACCGUAUCUGUGACACACACCACAACUUGUGGCAAUGUCAGAUCCUUAACCCACUGAGUGAGGCCAGGGUCGAACCCGUAUCUUCAUGGAUACUAGUUGGGUUCAUUACUACUGAGCCUCAAUAGGAACGCCUAGGAAUAUGUGCUUUAAUUUUAAAAAAUGCUAUUCUUGGGAGUUCCCCAGGGGCAUAGCACUUAAUUACCCAGGAUUGUCAUUGCUGUGGCUCAGGUCACUGCUGUGGCAUAGAUAUGAUCCCUGGCCAGGGAUGCCAGGCUGCAUGCCAUGGGCACAGCCCCCAAAAUGCUCUUCUUUUGUGAAUGACUACUUAUCCCUCAAGAUGCACCUGGAGUUGCCACCUCCUGGCAGCCCUUCCUGAUCUACCUGUCUGGGUUGGAUGCCCCUUCUCAGUUCUCUGCAAGCUCCCUGUGCUUUUCUUUGCUUUAACACAUAUCCUACUGCAUUGAAGUGAAGGGUCCAGCUGCCUGUCUUCUCCACUUGACUGUGACCUAGAACCUAAAUUCUGUCUCUGAUUCAUCCCUACCUCUACAGCUUCUAGCACAGUGCCUGGCCUAAAACUGAUGUUCAGUAGAAGUUUUCCAGAAGGUUGAAUUCAACUUUCUCAACUUUCUAAGUGAGAGAGGCCAAAGGAAAGUGUGAAGUGCAGAAAUAGCUUGUGAGUUGAGGUGAUACUGACAAUUCAGACAUUUCAGGCCAGAAGACACCUGUUUUUACGCUCUCUCAACAAAGGGUUAGACCAGAUGAUUCCAUUUGACCUCUGACCUCUCCCCUGCCGACCUGGGAGAACUGAAGGCAGGCCACUGAGUGAAGCAGGUUGGGGUCCUGCUAGGGGCUGACUUGGUGUCAUCAGAGAGGGUGAAGGCAGGGCCUGUUACUGAAGCCUCCAGGGAAUCGGUCUCCUGGCAGGGUGGGUACUGUUGAGGGCUGUUAGAGUGUGUGUGUGUGUGUGUGUGUGUGUGUAUGUAUGUAUGUACCACACAUGGGCACGUGGUGGUCAUGACAACAGGCAGUGUGUUUUGAAGAAGCCCCAGGGCAAACAGGGAGCCAUCUCAAUCAGCCUGAUUGUGAGGUGUCUGAGCCUUUGGUGAUGGAGGACUUGAUUCAUUAAUUCUAACAGUUCAUAUUUUCUCCAGCACUGUCUGUGUGCCAGGCAAUAUUCCAAGUCGUUUGUGUGCACUAACUCAUUUCAUUUUCACAGCAACCCCAGAAAGCAAGUAGUCAUUGUCUUCAUUCUAUUUUAUUAAUUAAUCUUUUUUAGGGUUGCACUGUGGCAUAUGGAGAUUCCUCGGCUAGGGGUCAAAUUGGAGCUGCAGCAGCCGGCCUACACCAGAGUCACAGCAACGCCAGAUCUGAGUCACAUCUGCAACCUACGUCUUAGCUUGUGGCAAAGCCAGAUCCUUAACCCACUGAGUGAGGCCAGGGAUUAAACCCGAGUCCUCAGGGACACUAUGUUGGGUUCUUAACCUACUGAACACAGGGGACCUGCCUUAUUGUCUUCCUUUUAGAGAUGAGUAAACCAAGGCUCACAGAAUUGAAGUGAUGUGCUCAAGAUCCCCCAGCUGAGAAAUGUCAAGGACAGCAGCGUCCCAGGCAGUAUGACUCAGGAGCCCAGGUCCAGGCUAACCUGUCCCAACUAUUCCAUCCUGCCUGUCGUGGACUGUCACGGGCCAGAGCCAAUGCCACUCAUUCUCUGGGAGCCUCCUUCUGCAGUUGGCAGGUACCAAUGACAUAGGGGGGUGGAGCUUUCAGGAAAUGUAGAGACCCCCCAACUGCCGACAGCUUUCGGGACCCUGGGCAGCUGAGCUGCAGCCCAACGGGAAGUCUCAAUGACAGCAUAUGCUGACCUGUGACCUGCGAGGCAAAGCUGUAAUCAUGGCCAGAUCACAGGCUCCAACUGUAACUUCCUGCACAGUUAGAGGGCAGACAGGAGGCUUGUAGAGUGAACCCACCUCAAGAGCACCCUUGCGGUGGCACCUGCUGGGGCCGGAUGUGGUAGUGGAGCAAUACAGCCACAAAAGGGAUGCUGAGUGCCAAGAACUGGGCCAGGACCCUACGAAUGUUGACUAAUUGUCAUACUGACCUUGCCAGGUGGAUGUUCACCCUGUCCACUGAUAUGGAUGUAGUCUCAGGGAGGCUAAGUGAUGUGCCCAAGUUACUGAGCUGAGAUUUGAAUCCAGUUCUACUUGAUUCCAAAGUGCAUAUUUUUGGCCUAUGCCCACUGCCCUUCCUAUUUAAGGCCUAUUUUAUUUUCCCCUCCUCUUCCUUCCUUCCUUCCUUCCUUCCUUCCUUCCUUCUUUCCUUCCUUCCUUCUUUCCUUCUUUCUUACUUUGUUUCUCUUCCUUCCUCUCCUUCCUUCCUUCCUUCCUUUCUUCUUUCUCCUUUCUCUUCUUUCCUUCCUCAAUCAAACUUCCUUCGGGAUCAUUGAAGGAGAGCUGUGGCCUGUCUCAUGGAUGACUCCGUGGGAGUAUUUUCCCUGGAUCUGGGGGUGAGUAUCAGAUUUGAGGGGAUCAUGACGUGCCCCGUAAAAAAGUGUAAAGUUCACUUUUAAUCCUUAGGCGUCUUCAGUAGGAAUUCUCCUUGGGGUCUGACUCUUUCCUUUUUCAGCUUUUUCACAUGCUUGGGAAGUCACUGUGUGAGAAGAGCUGAGCACACAGAGCUCUGCACUCCCCUGUGGGGCUGGAAGGGCAGGUGGGAGCCACAGCCGGCUGGGGGCCGUGAGCCUGACUGUGCAGACUCUGCUGUCAGUGAGGGCAUGGAAUCCUGAAGGCAAAGGUGCAGAGAUCAUCCUUGCCUAUCAGAGAACUGUAAUUUGGGACAUGUGAAUCUUUUACCCAUCUCUUCGAGACACCUGAAGACAGAGCUAAGCCUUCUGUUUCCAGUGAUCAGGGGCUGGAUGAAGCCAGCCUCAGGAUAAUAAACCAGUACAAAGUUGGUGGAUGAAGGGAAAAUGGCACUUUUGAUGUCAUAUGUUUGAAGAUCGUUGAAACAUUUGAGUCUUCCAAGAAGUCUGAUUUGCAGAAUUGGCUGAGAAUGCCUGGAAUAGAAGCACACACCUGACAAAAAAGUUGGAUAAACGCUGCUAAUUGGGCGAGAGAAAGUGCUGGAACACUGAGCUGGCAGACCAGCCUCAGGAGGGGUCUUCCAAGGCACCAUAGCACUUUGGGCCUUAAAGAUCAUUAGCUCCAACCCUCUCAAUUAAGGAUAAAGAAACUCAACCUAAAGGAGACCAUGACUUCACACAACCAGGGCUAGAACAGUUGUAACUUGACACUUUGUUCUGUGGUGUAAGUGCUGGGUCUCCGCUCCACCCAGCAUCUCCCUCAUCUAGGAAAGGAAAUAAAUGGGUUCAAGUUCAAUUCUGAGAGGAUUCUAAGGACAGAGAUGAUAUCGUUGCACCCUGUGCAAACAAGGCCUGAGACAUACACCUCCCCGGAGGGGGUGGGCCUCAAAUUGGAGGUGAUGGUCGAGAAACACCUGGGAAGGUUCAUUCCAGGCCAUGCUCCCGAGGCCCCUGUGCAGUGUCCAGGCCACUUUCAAGGAUAUUAACUCACCAUGGCCAUGAAGGGCAAUGCUGUCUGUUUUGCGGGUGAGAAAACAACAGAACUCGAGGAGGUUUGGUGAUGUGUCCAACUAAGGUCUAGCGUGUCAACGAAGGUCCAAGUGAGCCUGGAGCCAAACCAGCACGGAAGCUCCCAUCCUCCCAUUCCCUUACCCAAGUUUGGUGAGGCCCAGACCUGCCUGCACCCUGGUUCUUCCAGAAAUCUCCUUUCUUCCUCUGCCGGGCCUUUGCUCAGCCCUUGCUCUUCUGCUGUUCCCCAGGUGAUAAUUUCAGCUCCCAAGCAUGCUUCCUCAUUUGAGAAACAAAACACGGCCGUGAUGCCUAGUGUAUUGUGACCUAUGUGGAGGAGCAGGUGUGACCAUCACUGAAUCAGUGCCUAAUAAGAAGCAGACACUGGGUAUGUACCCGUGAAGAGGAUUGUAGGUUGGGAACUUUCCUCCAGACCCCCUCAAUAGUCCUUCCUUUCUUAUGCAGAGUAAUUUAUUUCUUC
This 4145-nucleotide long non-coding RNA is filed under the name Sus scrofa (pig). The record is from RNAcentral. Lineage: Eukaryota; Metazoa; Chordata; Mammalia; Artiodactyla; Suidae.